GUGUGCGCGCUUCAGGGCCGGUUUCAGCGGGACACUCUGCUUCCUGCUUACUGCUAAAUCCUCCUUCUAGAUACACGUUUCAGUAUUAUUAUCCGUGAUUCGCUGUAAUAGGGAAUGUAGCCCAUUUCUUUCCCUCCCAUACGCUACACCUCGACCUGACGUUUUGGGUUUUACCAAUUGUGCUUACUAGGGGGCCUUCAUAGGGUAAGCUGGCGACGGCGGUAUAUAGGCGGGGAUGACUAGGAAGGGUGAGGUUAAACGGGGGUUAUCGGUUAUAGAACAGGCUCCUCUAGGUGGGUCUAAAGCACCGCCAAGUCCUUUGGGUUUUAAGCUGUUGCUCGUAGUUUCCAGGCGGAUAGUGGUUGUGUAAAGCUAUCAAUGUUUAGGGCGAAGCAUAGUGGGG
RNAcentral lists this ribosomal RNA (403 nucleotides) under Epinephelus longispinis (longspine grouper). Its description in RNAcentral is "partial 12S ribosomal RNA". The record is from RNAcentral. Lineage: Eukaryota; Metazoa; Chordata; Actinopteri; Perciformes; Serranidae.